UUGGUAUCUUAGUGGCGGACGGGUGAGUAACGCGUGGGUAACCUGCCUUAUACAGGGGGAUAACACUUAGAAAUAGGUGCUAAUACCGCAUAAGCGCACGGGGCUGCAUGGCCCAGUGUGAAAAACUCCGGUGGUAUAAGAUGGACCCGCGUCUGAUUAGCUUGUUGGCGGGGUAACGGCCCACCAAGGCGACGAUCAGUAGCCGGCCUGAGAGGGUGGACGGCCACAUUGGGACUGAGACACGGCCCAAACUCCUACGGGAGGCAGCAG
This 270-nucleotide ribosomal RNA is filed under the name uncultured bacterium. RNAcentral's name for it is "partial 16S ribosomal RNA". It matches the Rfam family "Bacterial small subunit ribosomal RNA", at positions 84 to 354 of the family's 1533-position model. The record is from RNAcentral.